AUUGGCUAAAUUUGUGCCAGCAGCUGCGGUUAAACAAAAAAUACAAAUAAAUUUUAUUAAUAUAUAUAUAAGUUAAAUUGAAUUAAUUUAAUUAAUAAAAAAAUUUUAAGUGAAAUUUUAUUUUUUUAAAAAAUUAAUAUAAAAAAUUAUAUUGAGUCUAAAAAAUUUUAUUUUUAAACUAGGAUUAGAUACCCUAUUAUUUAAUUAUUUAAAGAAUAUAAAAAUUAGAGUAGUAAUAGUUAAGGUCUUGAAACUCAAAAAAUUUGGCGGUAUUUUAGUCUAUUCAGAGGAACUUGUUAUUUAAUCGAUAACCCACGAUGAAUCUUACUUAGUCUUGAAUUUAAAUUUGUAUAUCGCCGUUAUUUGAAAAUUUUAUAAGAAAAAUAAUUUUCUUAAAUUUUUAUUAAAAAAUAAAUCAGGUCAAGGUGCAGUUUAUGAUUAAGUUUUAUAUGAGUUACAAUAAAUUUAUUUAUACGGAUGAAAAAAUGAAAUAUUUUUAAGAAGGUGGAUUUGAAAGUAAAUUUUUAAAGAUAAAAAAAUUGAUUUUAGCUCUAAAAUAUGUACACAUCGCCCG
Molecule: ribosomal RNA, 574 nt
Filed under: Campsicnemus sp. 13 KRG-2014
Lineage: Eukaryota; Metazoa; Arthropoda; Insecta; Diptera; Dolichopodidae
Description: partial 12S ribosomal RNA
Source: RNAcentral